CAGCCCUAAACGAUGCGCGUUAGGUGUAUCGGUGACCACGAGUCACCGAGGUGCCGAAGGGAAACCGUGAAACGUGCCGCCUGGGAAGUACGGUCGCAAGGCUGAAACUUAAGGAUUGGCGGGGGAGCACCACAACGGGUGGAGCCUGCGGUUUAAUUGGACUCAACGCCGGGAAGCUCACCGGAUAAGACAGCGGAAUGAUUGCCGGGCUGAAGACCCUGCAUGACCAGCUGAGAGGAGGUGCAUGGCGUCAGUGACU
RNAcentral lists this ribosomal RNA (259 nucleotides) under uncultured archaeon. Its description in RNAcentral is "partial 16S ribosomal RNA". It matches the Rfam family "Archaeal small subunit ribosomal RNA", at positions 748 to 1008 of the family's 1478-position model. The record is from RNAcentral.